AAAUGCAAUCAUACCAGCACUAAUUCACCGGAUCCCAUCAGAACUCCGCAAUUAAGCAUGCUUGGGCGAGAGUAGUACUAGGAUGGAAGACCUCCUGAGAAGUUCUCGUGUUGCAUCCC
Molecule: ribosomal RNA, 119 nt
Organism: Arabidopsis thaliana (thale cress)
Lineage: Eukaryota; Viridiplantae; Streptophyta; Magnoliopsida; Brassicales; Brassicaceae
Source: Rfam